RNAcentral lists this ribosomal RNA (439 nucleotides) under uncultured bacterium. Its description in RNAcentral is "bacterial SSU rRNA". It matches the Rfam family "Bacterial small subunit ribosomal RNA", at positions 958 to 1398 of the family's 1533-position model. The record is from RNAcentral.
AACGCGAAGAACCUUACCUACCCUUGAAUCCCUGGAAUUUGGUAGAGAUAUCAAAGUGCCUUCGGGAACCAGGAGACAGGUGCUGCAUGGCUGUCGUCAGCUCGUGUCGUGAGAUGUUGGGUUAAGUCCCGUAACGAGCGCAACCCUUGUCCUUAGUUGCUAACAGGUAAAGCUGAGAACUCUAGGGAGACUGCCGGUGAUAAACCGGAGGAAGGCAGGGACGACGUCAAGUCAUCAUGGCCCUUACGGGUAGGGCUACACACGUGCUACAAUGGCCGGUACAAAAGGUUGCGAAGUCGCGAGAUGGAGCUAAUCCUAUAAAGCCGGUCUUAGUCCGGAUUGGAGUCUGCAACUCGACUCCAUGAAGCUGGAAUCGCUAGUAAUCGUGGAUCAGCACGCCACGGUGAAUACGUUCCCGGGCCUUGUACACACCGGAGUA